This 481-nucleotide ribosomal RNA is filed under the name uncultured Gemmatimonas sp. Its description in RNAcentral is "bacterial SSU rRNA". It matches the Rfam family "Bacterial small subunit ribosomal RNA", at positions 8 to 507 of the family's 1533-position model. The record is from RNAcentral. Lineage: Bacteria; Pseudomonadati; Gemmatimonadota; Gemmatimonadia; Gemmatimonadales; Gemmatimonadaceae.
AGAGUUUGAUCCUGGCUCAGGACGAACGCUGGCGGCGUGCUUAACACAUGCAAGUCGGGGGGCUCGCAAGGGUCACCGGCGAACGGGUGCGGAACACGUGAGCGACCUGCCCUGGGUGUGGGGGAUAGCCGGCCCAACGGCCGGGUAAGACCGCAUACGCCUCCGGCCUGAGGGUCGAGAGGGAAACGGAAGGCACUGGGAGGGGCUCGCGGCCUAUCAGCUAGUUGGGGGGUAACGGCUUCCCAAGGCGAUGACGGGUAGCUGGUCUGAGAGGAUGGCCAGCCACAUUGGGACUGAGAGACGGCCCAGACUCCUACGGGAGGCAGCAGUGGGGAAUCUUGCGCAAUGGGCGAAAGCCUGACGCAGCGACGCCGCGUGGUGGAGGAAGGCCUUCGGGUUGUAAACCCCUUUGGCCCGGGACGAACGACCGGCUUUGGCUGGUGUGACGGUACCGGGAGAACAAGCACCGGCUAACUCUGUG